This 497-nucleotide ribosomal RNA is filed under the name uncultured bacterium. Its description in RNAcentral is "partial 16S ribosomal RNA". It matches the Rfam family "Bacterial small subunit ribosomal RNA", at positions 28 to 507 of the family's 1533-position model. The record is from RNAcentral.
GACGAACGCUGGCGGCGUGCCUAAUACAUGCAAGUUGAGCGCUGAAGGUUGGUACUUGUACCAACUGGAUGAGCAGCGAACGGGUGAGUAACGCGUGGGGAAUCUGCCUUUGAGCGGGGGACAACAUUUGGAAACGAAUGCUAAUACCGCAUAAAAACUUUAAACACAAGUUUUAAGUUUGAAAGAUGCAAUUGCAUCACUCAAAGAUGAUCCCGCGUUGUAUUAGCUAGUUGGUGAGGUAAAGGCUCACCAAGGCGAUGAUACAUAGCCGACCUGAGAGGGUGAGCGGCCACAUUGGGACUGAGACACGGCCCAAACUCCUACGGGAGGCAGCAGUAGGGAAUCUUCGGCAAGAGACGAAAGUCUGACCGAGCAACGCCGCGGGAGGGAAGAAGGUUUUCGGAUCGUAAAACUCUGUUGGUAGAGAAGAACGUUGGUGAGAGUGGAAAGCUCAUCAAGUGACGGUAACUACCCAGAAAGGGACGGCUAACUACGUG